CUGACAGCCCUGGAGAGUGAUGUCCUCUGUUCAUCCUCAGAAGAGUUACAGCACAGACAGUGGUUGUGCCAGCUUCCUCCACCUGGCUAAUGAACCCAUUGCCCAGCCAAUGAACCACAACUUCAUUCUAGAGUGAAAGUACUGUCCGGCCUCCAUGACUCAGUCAGUCCUUGGCCGCA
RNAcentral lists this small RNA (179 nucleotides) under Chelonoidis abingdonii (Abingdon island giant tortoise). Its description in RNAcentral is "TUC338 (ENSCABG00000011412.1)". Lineage: Eukaryota; Metazoa; Chordata; Testudines; Testudinidae. The record is from RNAcentral.